CAGCUUUAGGAUUUAACUUUUUUUUGGAACCCUUCUUGCCUUUCUUUUUAUUGAUCUUAUUGAUAAGAAGAACUAGAGUCUUUUCACCUUUGAAAUAGUUCUCUGCUGCUUUCAACAUAUUCAACAGUUCAGGCAGGCUAAUGUUCAGUUUGUUCAUAUGGUAGUUUAUGACAAACUGAGAGAAAGAGUCGGAGAGAGACUGUAGGAUCAAAUCCUGGCUAAGUUCACCAUCCAUGAUAAAAUCUAAUUAUCUCAGAUGAGUGAUCAAAUCAAUCAUCUUUUGGACAUGAGUUUGCAUAGACGUGCCUUCAGUCGUGCAGGCACGAAAUAAACUGCUUAGAUAUCUCAUAUCUAGCAGUUCAACUUUAUUCUCCAUAUAACUCCUUAAGAUUAAGGAGUAUAGAGGAAACAUCCAUGUCCUCAUACUGUCUCGGAAGCUCAUAGCUCAUCGGGGCAAGUAUGAUGUAUUUGACAGUCACACUGUCAUCUUUCUACAUCUUAUAUGUGGCUCUUUCCUCCUUGAAAGCAUCUUCUCCGAUCGAAUUGGAUGCAGGUGUAUCCAGUACAUAGGAGAUUUUCUCCUGAGUAAGAACAAUUCUCAGAUUUCUUAGUCAAUCCAUAU
This 622-nucleotide long non-coding RNA is filed under the name Elaeis guineensis (African oil palm). RNAcentral describes it as "long non-coding RNA (EGUI_LNC050100)". Lineage: Eukaryota; Viridiplantae; Streptophyta; Magnoliopsida; Arecales; Arecaceae. The record is from RNAcentral.